Molecule: ribosomal RNA, 253 nt
Filed under: uncultured bacterium
Lineage: Bacteria
Description: partial 16S ribosomal RNA
Rfam family: Bacterial small subunit ribosomal RNA
Source: RNAcentral
UACGAAGGGGGCUAGCGUUGCUCGGAAUCACUGGGCGUAAAGCGCACGUAGGCGGCUUCUUAAGUCGAGGGUGAAAUCCUGGAGCUCAACUCCAGAACUGCCUUCGAUACUGAGGAGCUUGAGUCCGGGAGAGGUGAGUGGAACUGCGAGUGUAGAGGUGAAAUUCGUAGAUAUUCGCAAGAACACCAGUGGCGAAGGCGGCUCACUGGCUCGGUACUGACGCUGAGGUGCGAAAGCGUGGGGAGCAAACAGG